UGGAAGGAAGUGAAAGUGGAAUACUAUCAAGUUCACAGUAUUGCAAGUUUAACUCUAACAGAGAAGGAAGCAUAUUAAUAGCUUGAAGCCAAUCAUGCCCUACAUCUUGGAGUUUAACAUAACCCAUGUUCAGGUACUUUAAAGAAGAUAGACCUGAAAGCCAAUGCAGAUUAUCAGCGCGUAGCUCCCACGCGCCUGCAUUGCUAUGUGAU
RNAcentral lists this long non-coding RNA (212 nucleotides) under Jatropha curcas. Its description in RNAcentral is "long non-coding RNA (JCUR_LNC003488)". Lineage: Eukaryota; Viridiplantae; Streptophyta; Magnoliopsida; Malpighiales; Euphorbiaceae. The record is from RNAcentral.